CUCUCUUCCUCUCUCUCCCCAUCACAAUGUGACGAGACAGCUGGAAGAUGGCCAUCUACAAGCCAGAAAGUGUCCUUACCAGAACCUGACCCUGCUGGCACCCUGGUCUCAGACUUCAAGACUCCAGAACUAGAUGUUUACUAAGAUCAGCUCCCAAGAGUGUCCGGGACAUCCUCCAGAUAAUCUCUUUCAACUGUAACAUCCAGAAGAUGGGUGGAUGGUAAAGAGAAGCUCUAGAUGACUAAGAAAGCACAUAACUUCUAGAAGUUUGCAGGUUCAGAUCCCAGGCGUGGACCUAACAUGGCUCAUCAAGGCUUGCUGUGGUGGCAUCCCACAUGAAAUAGAGCAAGAUUGGCAGAGAUGUUAGCUCAGGGCUUAUCUUCCGCAGAAGAAGGAAG
This 398-nucleotide long non-coding RNA is filed under the name Equus caballus (horse). RNAcentral describes it as "lncRNA (ENSECAG00000050350.1)". The record is from RNAcentral. Lineage: Eukaryota; Metazoa; Chordata; Mammalia; Perissodactyla; Equidae.